RNAcentral lists this ribosomal RNA (2287 nucleotides) under Streptococcus agalactiae. RNAcentral describes it as "bacterial LSU rRNA". It matches the Rfam family "Bacterial large subunit ribosomal RNA", at positions 14 to 2323 of the family's 2925-position model. The record is from RNAcentral. Lineage: Bacteria; Bacillati; Bacillota; Bacilli; Lactobacillales; Streptococcaceae.
AGGGCGCACGGUGGAUGCCUUGGCACUAGAAGCCGAAGAAGGACGUGACUAACGACGAAAUGCUUUGGGGAGCUGUAAGUAAGCGCUGAUCCAGAGAUGUCCGAAUGGGGGAACCCACUAGUUAAUGACUAGUAUCCAUAUCUGUUAAGGAUAUGAGAAGGAAGACGCAGUGAACUGAAACAUCUAAGUAGCUGCAGGAAGAGAAAGCAAAAGCGAUUGCCUUAGUAGCGGCGAGCGAAACGGCAGGAGGGCAAACCGAAGUGUUUACACUUCGGGGUUGUAGGACUGCGAUAUAGGAUUAAUCAUUAUAGAAGAAUUACCUGGGAAGGUAAGCCAAAGAGAGUAACAGCCUCGUAUUUAAAAUGAUAGAUUAACCUUAGCAGUAUCCUGAGUACGGCGAGACACGCGAAAUCUCGUCGGAAUCUGGGAGGACCAUCUCCCAACCCUAAAUACUCUCUAGUGACCGAUAGUGAACCAGUACCGUGAGGGAAAGGUGAAAAGCACCCCGGGAGGGGAGUGAAAUAGAACCUGAAACCGUGUGCCUACAACAAGUUCGAGCCCGUUAAUGGGUGAGAGCGUGCCUUUUGUAGAAUGAACCGGCGAGUUACGAUAUGAUGCGAGGUUAAGUUGAAGAGACGGAGCCGUAGGGAAACCGAGUCUUAAUAGGGCGUCAUAGUAUCAUGUUGUAGACCCGAAACCAUGUGACCUACCCAUGAGCAGGUUGAAGGUGAGGUAAAACUCACUGGAGGACCGAACCAGGGCACGUUGAAAAGUGCUUGGAUGACUUGUGGGUAGCGGAGAAAUUCCAAACGAACUUGGAGAUAGCUGGUUCUCUCCGAAAUAGCUUUAGGGCUAGCGUCGAUGUUAAGUCUCUUGGAGGUAGAGCACUGUUUGGGUGAGGGGUCCAUCCCGGAUUACCAAUCUCAGAUAAACUCCGAAUGCCAACGAGAUAUAAUCGGCAGUCAGACUGCGAGUGCUAAGAUCCGUAGUCGAAAGGGAAACAGCCCAGACCACCAGCUAAGGUCCCAAAAUAUAUGUUAAGUGGAAAAGGAUGUGGGGUUGCACAGACAACUAGGAUGUUAGCUUAGAAGCAGCUAUUCAUUCAAAGAGUGCGUAAUAGCUCACUAGUCGAGUGACCCUGCGCCGAAAAUGUACCGGGGCUAAAACAUAUUACCGAAGCUGUGGAUGACACAAAAGUGUCAUGGUAGGAGAGCGUUCUAUGUGUGAAGAAGGUGUACCGUGAGGAGCGCUGGAACGCAUAGAAGUGAGAAUGCCGGUAUGAGUAGCGCAAGACAGGUGAGAAUCCUGUCCACCGUAAGACUAAGGUUUCCAGGGGAAGGCUCGUCCGCCCUGGGUUAGUCGGGACCUAAGGAGAGACCGAAAGGUGUAUCCGAUGGACAACAGGUUGAUAUUCCUGUACUAGAGUAUAUAGUGAUGGAGGGACGCAGUAGGCUAACUAAACCAGACGAUUGGAAGUGUCUGGUCAAACAGUGAGGUGUGAUAUGAGUCAAAUGCUUAUAUCUUUAACAUUGAGCUGUGACGAGGAGCGAAGUUUAGUAGCGAAGUUAGUGAUGUCACACUGCCAAGAAAAGCUUCUAGCGAUACAUAUACUCUACCCGUACCGCAAACCGACACAGGUAGUCGAGGCGAGUAGCCUCAGGUGAGCGAGAGAACUCUCGUUAAGGAACUCGGCAAAAUGGCCCCGUAACUUCGGGAGAAGGGGCGCUGAUUUUAGAUCAGCCGCAGUGAAUAGGCCCAAGCAACUGUUUAUCAAAAACACAGCUCUCUGCUAAAUCGUAAGAUGAUGUAUAGGGGGUGACGCCUGCCCGGUGCUGGAAGGUUAAGAGGAGUGCUUAGCGUAAGCGAAGGUAUGAAUUGAAGCCCCAGUAAACGGCGGCCGUAACUAUAACGGUCCUAAGGUAGCGAAAUUCCUUGUCGGGUAAGUUCCGACCCGCACGAAAGGCGUAAUGAUUUGGGCACUGUCUCAACGAGAGACUCGGUGAAAUUUUAGUACCUGUGAAGAUGCAGGUUACCCGCGACAGGACGGAAAGACCCCAUGGAGCUUUACUGCAGUUUGAUAUUGAGUAUCUGUACCACAUGUACAGGAUAGGUAGGAGCCUAUGAUAACGGGACGCCAGUUUCGUUUGAGGCGUUGUUGGGAUACUACCCUUGUGUUAUGGCUACUCUAACCCAGAUAGGCAAUCCCUAUCGGAGACAGUGUCUGACGGGCAGUUUGACUGGGGCGGUCGCCUCCUAAAAGGUAACGGAGGCGCCCAAAGGUUCCCUC